ACGUAGGGGGCAAGCGUUGUCCGGAAUUAUUGGGCGUGAAGGGCACGCAGGCGGUCUUCUAAGUCUGAUGUGAAAUCCCACGGCUUAACCGUGGAUGGUCAUUGGAAACUGGGGGACUUGAGUGCAGAAGAGGAAAGUGGAAUUCCACGUGUAGCGGUGAAAUGCGUAGAGAUGUGGAGGAACACCAGUGGCGAAGGCGACUUUCUGGUCUGUAACUGACGCUGAGGCGCGAAAGCGUGGGGAGCAAACAGGA
Molecule: ribosomal RNA, 253 nt
Filed under: uncultured prokaryote
Description: partial 16S ribosomal RNA
Rfam family: Bacterial small subunit ribosomal RNA
Source: RNAcentral